AGAGUUUGAUCAUGGCUCAGGACGAACGCUGGCGGCGUGCUUAACACAUGCAAGUCGAACGAGAUGCCUUCGGGUGUCUAGUGGCGAACGGGUGAGUAACACGUGAGCAACCUGCCCCUGGCUCUGGGAUAGCCUCCGGAAACGGGGAUUAAUACCGGACAUGACCUGCGCGGGCAUCUGUGCGGGUGGAAAGUUUUUCGGCUGGGGAGGGGCUCGCGGCCUAUCAGCUUGUUGGGGGGGUGACGGCCCACCAAGGCGACGACGGGUAGCCGGCCUGAGAGGGCGGCCGGCCACACUGGGACUGAGACACGGCCCAGACUCCUACGGGAGGCAGCAGUGGGGAAUAUUGCACAAUGGGCGCAAGCCUGAUGCAGCGACGCCGCGUGCGGGAUGAAGGCCUUCGGGUUGUAAACCGCUUUCAGCAGGGGCGAAUUCAGGACGGUACCUGCAGAAGAAGCGCCGGCUAACUACGUGCCAGCAGCCGCGGUAAUACGUAGGGCGCGAGCGUUGUCCGGAUUUAUUGGGCGUAAAGAGCUCGUAGGCGGCCUGUUGCGUCCGCUGUGAAAUCCCGGGGCUCAACCCCGGGCGUGCAGUGGAUACGGGCGGGCUGGAGGCAGGCAGGGGAGAACGGAAUUCCCGGUGUAGCGGUGAAAUGCGCAGAUAUCGGGAGGAACACCGGUGGCGAAGGCGGUUCUCUGGGCCUGUGCUGACGCUGAGGAGCGAAAGCGUGGGGAGCGAACAGGAUUAGAUACCCCCGUAGUCC
Molecule: ribosomal RNA, 763 nt
Filed under: uncultured bacterium
Lineage: Bacteria
Description: bacterial SSU rRNA
Rfam family: Bacterial small subunit ribosomal RNA
Source: RNAcentral